AUGGCGACCGCAACGAGGCUGCUCCCGACGCUCCUCAGAACCCUAACCGGCACCCGCCACGCUGGCGCGGCGCGGGGCCUCGCCACGGAGAAGGCAGUCGGUGCUGCGGCCGUCGUUGGAAGCCACACCGCCAAAUGGAUGCAGGACACAAGCAAGAAAUCUCCAAUGGAACUCAUCAAUGAGGUGCCACCAAUCAAGGUUGAAGGGCGAAUUGCCGCAUGUGAAGGGGAUAAAAACCCUGCCCUUGGCCAUCCAAUUGAGUACAUCUGCCUUGAUCUGGAUGCACCUGCUGUGUGCAAAUACUGCGGCCUUCGCUAUGUUCAAGACCACCAUCACUAA
RNAcentral lists this ribosomal RNA (339 nucleotides) under Triticum aestivum (bread wheat). RNAcentral's name for it is "partial small subunit ribosomal RNA". The record is from RNAcentral. Lineage: Eukaryota; Viridiplantae; Streptophyta; Magnoliopsida; Poales; Poaceae.